GAUGAACGCUGGCGGCGUGCUUAACACAUGCAAGUCGAACGAAGCACUUUAUUUGAUUUCCUUCUGGACUGAUUAUUUUGUGACUGAGUGGCGGACGGUUUCGUAACGCUUGGGUAACCUGCCUUGUACAGGGGGAUAACAGUUGGCAACGGCUGCUAAUACCGCAUAAGCUCACAGCAUCCCAUGAUGCAGUGUGAAUAACUCCGGUGGCAUAAGAUGGACCCGCGUUGGAUUAGCUAGUUGGUGAGGUAACGGCCCACAAAGGCGACGAUCCAUAGCCGACCUGAGAGGGGGACCGGCAACAUUGGGACUGAGACACGGCCCAAACUCCUAAGGGAGGCAGCAGUGGGGAAUAUUGCACAAUGGGCGAAAGCCUGAUGCAGCGACGCCGCGUGAGCGAAGAAGUAUGUCGGUAUGUAAAGCUCUAUCAGCAGGGAAGAUAAUGACGGUACCUGACGAAGAAGCACAGGCUAAAUACGUG
RNAcentral lists this ribosomal RNA (481 nucleotides) under uncultured bacterium. RNAcentral's name for it is "partial 16S ribosomal RNA". It matches the Rfam family "Bacterial small subunit ribosomal RNA", at positions 28 to 507 of the family's 1533-position model. The record is from RNAcentral.